CUGAAUAGUUUCUUUGUCUUGACGGAAAGUAAAAAGAACAAACUUGUUUUAAACAAAAUCAGAUGCUCCAAAUGGUCAGUUGAUAAUGCUACCAAUCAAAGAAAACUAAAGAGGAAGAAAAAGAAAAGAGGAAAGAGAGGAGGCAACAGGAAAAUCGGCCUUCUUCCUUCAGUCUAUGGUGAGGAUCUGAAGCUCAGAGGAAUGAUGUUAGCUGCUCAAGGCCACAUAGAUGGCAAGCUGGACAGAUGGUCACUUUGGGAAAAUAAGUAGUAGUAUACUGUGUGUACUAUCACAAGGCUCCCGGUUGAUAAAUUGGCCCUUUGUGUUCCUAAAGGCCACCUCACUGGCCUAAAACACUUCACAGGACUUCUGCAGAGGUCUAACCACACUUGAAGAGACAGGAUAAGACCUGGAAGCAUCAGAUGUAUAUUAGCUGAAACAAUUACAGAAAUCAAGCACUUUCUGGGGUAAAAUUAAUUAAACGAUUGAUUGAUUGAU
Molecule: non-coding RNA, 498 nt
Organism: Macaca mulatta (Rhesus monkey)
Lineage: Eukaryota; Metazoa; Chordata; Mammalia; Primates; Cercopithecidae
Source: RefSeq, a predicted model, not a curated record